UACGGAGGGGGCUAGCGUUGUUCGGAAUUACUGGGCGUAAAGCGCACGUAGGCGGCUUUGUAAGUCAGAGGUGAAAGCCUGGAGCUUAACUCCAGAACUGCCUUUGAGACUGCAUCGCUUGAAUCCAGGAGAGGUGAGUGGAAUUCCGAGUGUAGAGGUGAAAUUCGUAGAUAUUCGGAAGAACACCAGUGGCGAAGGCGGCUCACUGGACUGGUAUUGACGCUGAGGUGCGAGAGCGUGGGGAGCAAACAGG
RNAcentral lists this ribosomal RNA (253 nucleotides) under uncultured bacterium. RNAcentral describes it as "partial 16S ribosomal RNA". It matches the Rfam family "Bacterial small subunit ribosomal RNA", at positions 524 to 776 of the family's 1533-position model. The record is from RNAcentral.